AGUUCUGGAGUGUCAUCACGUCAGAUUGCAAAUCUGAAGAAGCAAACUUGUUGUUUGCCAGGACUU
RNAcentral lists this transfer RNA (66 nucleotides) under Gadiculus argenteus thori (silvery pout). Its description in RNAcentral is "tRNA-Cys". Lineage: Eukaryota; Metazoa; Chordata; Actinopteri; Gadiformes; Gadidae. The record is from RNAcentral.